Molecule: ribosomal RNA, 301 nt
Filed under: uncultured bacterium
Lineage: Bacteria
Description: partial 16S ribosomal RNA
Rfam family: Bacterial small subunit ribosomal RNA
Source: RNAcentral
CAGUCGCCGCGGUAAUGCGUAGGUCCCGAGCGUUGUCCGGAUUUAUUGGGCGUAAAGCGAGCGCAGGCGGUUAGAUAAGUCUGAAGUUAAAGGCUGUGGCUUAACCAUAGUACGCUUUGGAAACUGUUUAACUUGAGUGCAAGAGGGGAGAGUGGAAUUCCAUGUGUAGCGGUGAAAUGCGUAGAUAUAUGGAGGAACACCGGUGGCGAAAGCGGCUCUCUGGCUUGUAACUGACGCUGAGGCUCGAAAGCGUGGGGAGCAAACAGGAUUAGAUCCGCGUAGUCCCUGUCUCUUAUACACA